Molecule: ribosomal RNA, 200 nt
Filed under: uncultured bacterium
Lineage: Bacteria
Description: partial 16S ribosomal RNA
Rfam family: Bacterial small subunit ribosomal RNA
Source: RNAcentral
AUUGAACGCUGGCGGCAUGCCUUACACAUGCAAGUCGAACGGUAACAGGUUAAGCUGACGAGUGGCGAACGGGUGAGUAAUAUAUCGGAACGUGCCCAGUCGUGGGGGAUAACUGCUCGAAAGAGCAGCUAAUACCGCAUACGACCUAAGGGUGAAAGCGGGGGAUCGCAAGACCUCGCGCGAUUGGAGCGGCCGAUAUC